UGGCCAUAUCAAGUUGAAACACUGGUUCUCAUACAAUCACCAAAGUUAAGCAAUGUCAAGCCUGAUCAGUACUUAGAUGGGUGACCAGAUGGAAUAACCAGGUGCUGUAAG
Non-coding RNA from Acanthosepion pharaonis, 111 nucleotides. NCBI's taxonomy places the organism in Eukaryota, Metazoa, Mollusca, Cephalopoda, Sepiida, Sepiidae. The record is from the annotation of a GenBank genome assembly.